This 1776-nucleotide unclassified non-coding RNA is filed under the name Leishmania donovani. RNAcentral describes it as "gene:LdHU3.28.0280(CDS-product:histone_H2B_varian t)". Lineage: Eukaryota; Euglenozoa; Kinetoplastea; Trypanosomatida; Trypanosomatidae. The record is from RNAcentral.
UUCUCGUGAACUCGUUCCUUGGUGCCACCUCUGCCCUCCUGUUAUAUAUAUAUAUAUUUCGACCUCCGCUCCAACCUCAACAACAUCUCACACCCCUUUCCUGUCUUGUCUCUUCCCGUCCAACAUGCCUCCGACCAAGGGUGGAAAGCGUCCGAUCCCGCUGGGGGGUAAGGGCAAGGGCAAGCGCUCGGCGGGUAAGGCACCUAAGUCAGGCGAUGAUCAAAAGCGCCGCCACAACCACAAACGCAGCCAGCACUGGGACCUGUACAUCCACCGCGCUCUGCGCCGCUUCUUUAAGCGCGGCACGCUGAGCAAGGCAGCCGUGCGCGUGCUUUCUUCCUUUAUUGAGGACAUGUUCAACCGCAUCCAGACCGAGGCCGUCUUUGUCGCCAAGAUCAACAAGGUGAAGACUCUGACAGCUCGCGAAAUCCAGACGUCGGCCCGUCUGCUGCUGCCGCCGGAGCUGGCGAAGCACGCCAUGAGCGAGGGCACCAAGGCUGUCGCCAAGUACAACGCUUCCCGCGGGGAGGCGUAUGCUCAGGGUGGCAUUUAGAGCGUGGCUCCGCUGCAAGCUACGCAAACGUUUGUUUACCCCUUUCGCCUUUACUCUUGCCCUUGUUAUGCUGUGCUUAUGUAGGCGUGACUCGUCUUCACGCACACGAGUGCCGAUGGCGGGUGUGCACCCGUUCUCCAUUUCUUUUCUUUUUGUCGCUUACUCUCCUUUCCAGACGCGUCAUAGAGCUGUUUUUGUUUUUCUUUCUCUGUUUUGUUUGGAGUGUGUGCUCCAUCGCUGAUGUGAAGUGGAUGGGGCAGCGAGCGACAACGGUGAGAGGGGCGUGCGGCUCUCUCAGUGAGACGGCUGUGCGUGCUGUGGUUGAUUUCUCUCCUUCUACGUCUUCGCGAUUUUUGCGUUUGUGAGAGUGCGUGUUUGGGUUGGCCUGCGUGUGCGCAUCGCUUGGUUUUUCUGUUGCUUCGGCGAGCACGCAUGCGCUUGCAUGGGUGUCUUCGCUUCUGUUCGCGCCGAUAUCGCUUGCUUGCUCUCUCUUUUUUUUUCGUUUCUUGCUUCCGACCGGUUUUCUGUGGUUUACUGCUGGAUGCUUCUGCGCACGGACGCAGAUGCCCGCUUCUCGAGAAAGCCUUUUUUUUUUACACGCGUCAUGCAAAGGCGGGCUGCGGUGUACAGCAGAUCAGCGUGGAGCUUCUCAACUCAAUCGGCGUAUCUCGUCUUAUACAAAUAUAUGUAUGCUCUUGUGCGUUUGUGUGCGUUUCGUUGUUGUUGCCGCUGUUGUCUUUGCGUGCUGAAGAUGAAAGACGAGGGGCUACGGUAAAGCACAGCAGGUAUAGAUGCUUUAGAGAGCCCUACUCAGGGAACAACCAAAAAAAAGCAACGUCUCGCCGUCUCUCUCCGAUGAAGAUUUGUUUACUAUCAAUGAGGUAUGUGUGGCUCACACGAACCAUGCCCGUGCUUGCGGCCGGGGGGAGGUGAGGGGGGGGCAGUGCGUUUCUAAGAGCUGCGUUGGUGUCUUGAGCUUACGCUUACUGCGUUGUCAAUGAGAGAGCAGAGCUCCGCGAGGCAAUGGCGCUGCCGGUCUGCGCCUUCGCUGCCCGUGCCAUCACCACCCGGCCGUCGUGCUGAUGGGUGAGCGGCGUCUCUUCCUCUACAGCUUCCUCUUCUGUAUGCCAUGCUCGCAUCACUCCUUCGCUCAUUUCUCUACCGUUCCUCCGUUGCUUUCGAACGCAUGGCCACCGUGCUGCAUGUGCCGGAGUGCAUGACAG